Poecilia reticulata (guppy) is the source of this 405-nucleotide long non-coding RNA. RefSeq lists it as uncharacterized. NCBI's taxonomy places the organism in Eukaryota, Metazoa, Chordata, Actinopteri, Cyprinodontiformes, Poeciliidae. The record is from RefSeq and is a predicted model, not a curated record.
CGGUGCUGUCCAUGCAGGCCCGGUAAUAGUUCUCUCCUGCGGUCGCUGCUCCCACCACAUCCCUCAUCUGAGAAACAGGAACCAAAAGACCCACUUGGUGGAUCCCAGACCCUCGUAGUCGGAGCCCCAGUAGAAGAGACAGGCGUUGAUGUGCAGCGAGUAGAGCAGGGUGAGGAAGAGGAGGAAGAGAGGAAGAGCGCCUCACCUUCAGCAGGCGGGGGAAGCGCAGCAGGGAGUUCACGCCUGUGAAGUAGUAAAAUACCUCCAUGGGRAACAGGCUGAUGACGUCCAUCUGGGAACAAACGGAACACGGGUAGAACCAGUGAAACCAGUUAGAGCCGUUCCUGCCGGGUCGGAWGCAGGAMGGCUCUGAGUCUACGCACCACGAUGUCUCCGCCGCGAACG